AGUUUGAUCCUGGCUCAGAACGAACGCUGGCGGCAUGCCUAACACAUGCAAGUCGAACGAAGCCUUCGGGCUUAGUGGCGCACGGGUGCGUAACGCGUGGGAACCUGCCUUUAGGUUCGGAAUAACUCAGAGAAAUUUGAGCUAAUACCGGAUAAUGUCUUCGGACCAAAGAUUUAUCGCCUUUAGAUGGGCCCGCGUUGGAUUAGAUAGUUGGUGGGGUAACGGCCUACCAAGUCGACGAUCCAUAGCUGGUCUGAGAGGAUGAUCAGCCACACUGGGACUGAGACACGGCCCAGACUCCUACGGGAGGCAGCAGUGGGGAAUAUUGGACAAUGGGCGAAAGCCUGAUCCAGCAAUGCCGCGUGAGUGAUGAAGGCCUUAGGGUUGUAAAGCUCUUUUACCAGGGAUGAUAAUGACAGUACCUGGAGAAUAAGCUCCGGCUAACUCCGUGCCAGCAGCCGCGGUAAUACGGAGGGAGCUAGCGUUGUUCGGAAUUACUGGGCGUAAAGCGCGCGUAGGCGGCUUAUCAAGUCAGGGGUGAAAUCCCGGGGCUCAACCCCGGAACUGCCCUUGAAACUGGUUCGCUAGAAUACUGGAGAGGUGAGUGGAAUUCCGAGUGUAGAGGUGAAAUUCGUAGAUAUUCGGAAGAACACCAGUGGCGAAGGCGACUCACUGGACAGUUAUGACGCUGA
RNAcentral lists this ribosomal RNA (692 nucleotides) under uncultured bacterium. RNAcentral describes it as "bacterial SSU rRNA". It matches the Rfam family "Bacterial small subunit ribosomal RNA", at positions 10 to 749 of the family's 1533-position model. The record is from RNAcentral.